CUCGUAGGCGGUUCGAUAAGUCGGGUGUGAAAUCUCCAGGCUCAACCUGGAGGCGCCACCCGAUACUGUCGUGACUUGAGUUCGGUAGAGGAGUAUGGAAUUCCCGGUGUAGCGGUGAAAUGCGCAGAUAUCGGGAGGAACACCCGUAGCGAAGGCGGUACUCUGGGCCGAAACUGACGCUGAGGAGCGAAAGCGUGGGGAGCGAACA
This 208-nucleotide ribosomal RNA is filed under the name uncultured bacterium. RNAcentral's name for it is "partial 16S ribosomal RNA". It matches the Rfam family "Bacterial small subunit ribosomal RNA", at positions 568 to 774 of the family's 1533-position model. The record is from RNAcentral.